Molecule: ribosomal RNA, 548 nt
Filed under: bacterium T-1-48-6G
Lineage: Bacteria
Description: bacterial SSU rRNA
Rfam family: Bacterial small subunit ribosomal RNA
Source: RNAcentral
GGGCGCAAGCCUGAUGCAGCCAUGCCGCGUGUAUGAAGAAAGCCUUAGGGUAGUAGAGUACAUUUCAGUGUGGGGAGGAAGGCGUUGAUGCUAAUAUCAUCAACUGAUUGACGUUACCAACAGAAGAGAGCACCGGCUAACUCCGUGCCAGCAGCCGCGGUAAUACGGAGAGGUGCAAGCGUUGAAUCNGGAAUUGACUGGGCGUAGAGCGCACGCACGGCGGUGUGAUUGAAGAUUGAGAUGUGAAAUCCCCGGGCAUUAACCAUGGGAAUGGCAUCUAAGACUGGUCAGCUAGAGUCUUGUAGAGGGGGGUAGAAUUCCAUGUGUAGCGGUGAAAUGCGUAGAGAUGUGGAGGAAUACCGGUGGCGAAGGCGGCCCCCUGGACAAAGACUGACGCUCAGGUGCGAAAGCGUGGGGAGCAAACAGGAUUAGAUACCCUGGUAGUCCACGCUGUAAACGAUGUCGAUUUGGAGGUUGUNNCCCUUGAGGAGUGGCUUCCGGAGCUAACGCGUUAAAUCGACCGCCUGGGGAGUACGGCCGCAAGGUUA